RNAcentral lists this ribosomal RNA (468 nucleotides) under uncultured bacterium. Its description in RNAcentral is "partial 16S ribosomal RNA". It matches the Rfam family "Bacterial small subunit ribosomal RNA", at positions 28 to 507 of the family's 1533-position model. The record is from RNAcentral.
GACGAACGCUGGCGGCGUGCUUAACACAUGCAAGUCGAACGGAAAGGCCCUGCUUUUGUGGGGUGCUCGAGUGGCGAACGGGUGAGUAACACGUGAGUAACCUGCCCUUGACUUUGGGAUAACUUCAGGAAACUGGGGCUAAUACCGGAUAGGAGCUCCUGCUGCAUGGUGGGGGUUGGAAAGUUUCGGCGGUUGGGGAUGGACUCGCGGCUUAUCAGCUUGUUGGUGGGGUAGUGGCUUACCAAGGCUUUGACGGGUAGCCGGCCUGAGAGGGUGACCGGCCACAUUGGGACUGAGAUACGGCCCAGAAUCCUACGGGAGGCAGCAGUGGGGAAUAGUGCAAAAUGGGCGGAAGCCUGAUGCAGAAACGCCGCGUGCGGGAUGACGGCCUUCGGGUUGUAAACCGCUUUCGCCUGUGACGAAGCGUGAGUGACGGUAAUGGGUAAAGAAGCACCGGCUAACUACGUG